This is a long non-coding RNA of Micropterus dolomieu (smallmouth bass), 1430 nucleotides long. RefSeq lists it as uncharacterized. NCBI's taxonomy places the organism in Eukaryota, Metazoa, Chordata, Actinopteri, Centrarchiformes, Centrarchidae. The record is from RefSeq and is a predicted model, not a curated record. The transcript is spliced from 4 exons.
AGUUGUUGUGACGUGCCAACACUUAACAUUGGCUGGCAAAAACCAACUGCCUGUUCAGGUUUUUCUCAAAAAGGUCAUCUUAAGAUUUCAACAUUUAAACACAGUAUUUUCUGCAGCCUGGCACAGCUGGCUGAGUGGACGGUCGCCGAUUCAAGUACAGGCCAGAUCACUGCCGAAGGGGGCCAUGAGCAGGGCCCUAAACCCCAAACUGCUUCUCGGACUGGACGCCAGCUGGCGACGCCUCGUCCCAGUUCCUCAGCUCGAGUCUCAGACGUAAAUGAUGGAUCUGUGUUACUGCGAACAGGCCCUGACAAGGCGGAGUCAAAGUCCAAAUGUCUCCAGGGUCCCAGAAGAUGAUCACACCUCGGUGAACUGGUGGACGACAGACCUUGGUCCUCAGCAGCUUCUGAUAUCCAUGGUCCCCAGAGGAUGAAUCCUUCUGACUUUGGAACCGGACCUCCUCCGAACAGUCUGCAAGAACGAGACUGAAGAUCCACUGAGGUGAUGCAACACUGCUUCUCUCUCUUUCCACUCUCACGCCCCCUCCCUCUCUCACAUUCCCAGGAUGCAGCACGCCAGUGCAGAUAAAGUUAGCACUGCAGAAGUGACAACGCGUUGUAACCGUUACCCGUCACCGCAGCCUCCCCCUAAUGACGCAACCCCGGCCUCCAACCCUCCCUAUCUGGUUUAUUAUCUGGUCGUGUGUCUGUGGGAUGCUAGGCAACAUAAACACAACUAAAUAUAACAGCCGAGCUGUAAUAACUUUCCAGUCGCUCCUCAACCGGCUCUGAAUAUAAACUCCUUAGUGAAUUAAGAAGAAGUAGUUCGGCUUCAGGUUCAGACUUUAAUCUUGAGUUUAAUAAAACAAAAGUCUACUGACAAAGAAUAAGUAGACGGACCACCAGUUCAAGGUACAAGAAAGUGAGACAGUGUCAGAUUAACCCUCAGAGUUCUUUAAUACAGUGGAAUACAUGACAUUUGGUUAUUUUUCAUCACUUUGGAUCAUAGUGCACUAGUUUAAACACACAAAGUGGCAUGCAUAUCAGAGAGUAUCCCCAUCUGUGAGCUCAGUAUUCACAAUGUUACUCCAUGAUUAAGCUCCAUACACAAAGUCAAAAUCCUGUCUUCUGACCGGUUACUCGGCAGUGGGUGGUGUCUUCUGAGGCGUCUUCUGUCUGCUCAGAAAGAAACGUAACGUGCGGAGUGCUGAGUUCACAAAUGAGCUUAUCACUGAAAGAGAAACUUCAACAACAGAGUACCUUGUUAAUUGUAUAUUAUAGCUUAUUGGCAUCAUAUCAUUAGAUAUACUGUACAUCAUUUGUAGAGCUACAACUAAUCUGCAGACUGUUUUUGUUGAUGAAUCAUUUAAAGCAACAAUAAAGUCCUGUAUGAUAAUAAGUAUAGAUUAGACAGUCCUGUGUGAGUGUUUU